UCUCUGGCACCAGCUCAAUGGCUCUAGUGUAGGUGCAAAUUGGUUUUCCUGUUUUGAAACCAUGUUCCAAAAUAGCUUGUAAGGGGCCAGAAAACUUCAAAUGUAUACUAGCAAUGCCCAGAGUUCUAACAGAAUUCUGAGUGCACGAAUACAAAUAAGCACACGACCUCCUCAGGUCUCACUGCCCAACUCUGAUGGCAGCUUGAAUGGGCUCCACAAUUCGUAAAAACUCUCAGGAGGAGAGGUUGGGCUCAUUUCUUCUAUUUAGCCACAAUAAAACACAUUAAGAAUGGUGGUGAUUUAAGACAGAUUUGCUGGGAGUGUCUGGCAAUUGUUCAUCAUCGUUGAUGCUUUUUAUCUGCAAAGUUUUUGUCAUCCUUGCCCCAUCUCCCAGUGCACCCCAUUUCGUUCUUGAGGGGGCACUUCUGGCAACAACAACGAUGAGGCAUCUGAGAUUGUCAGCUGCUCUCUCAGUUAUCGGUGGAAUUUCACUUGUUUGAGUUUUCUUAUUUGUGCACAUCUUGAUUUGGUUAUACAUGCCCCAAUUUCUUUCAGGCCUUUGCAGAUUUGGCCAUGAUGGACUUAUAGCAUUUAUUUUAGAAUUGCUUUUAAAAUACGGAUCAUAAAUAGUUUCUGAAGCAUUCAACAGAAGGACAUGUUGUUCCCUGUUUGUAUCACGAUGUCAUGUUGGAUUGUCAUUAAUAAUUGGUUUGCAUCAUCCAUGUGCUACUACCCCCACUUUCCAAGGGUAAUAAUUUUGACAUUAUUUUUAGUCCAUCUACAUAGUUCUGAAAACAACCAAGAAGAGGAGGAGUAUUCUUUUAAAUGACAUUCUUUCUGAGCAGGGGCUUAUCAUCCAUCUGUGUUCACAAAGAAUGAAGUGUUCUGUUGUUUAUCCCUGAUGCUGCAACACUGGAACAUUCUUCAUAGCUCUGAAUCAUGCCAGAUGGUGACAGGGAAAUUGUCAUAGAAACUUGGGACCACAAAUGCAUUGGUAGUUGAGGCUGGGCAACACUGGAGACCCAUUUGGAUGCUUCCAUGGGAGUGGUGUCCUGGAAGAGAGGCAAAGACCACCUUCACCACUGGAGCAAACCAUUGACAGCAGCAUGGAAGCUCUGGCCUCUGAACAUAGGACAAGGCAUUUCCAAGCAUGUUCUGCUCUAUGAAGGUCAGGACUCGUUCUCUUUUCCUGUCUGCAUCUUCAGCACCUAGCACAGUACCCAGCCCCAAAGGGUGCUGAAUGGAUGAUGGAGUAAGGAACAUUCUGGAGUGUGAUGAGGGCCACUAGGUAACAGCACCUCUAAUUCAUGGGUACCUUGGUCACUGAAAAGAACUAAGGAAUGCCUGCAUAAAAAUCUGUACAAGGAUGCUUAUAGUAGCUUUAUUCAUAAUUUCCAAAACCUGAAGGCCACCAAGAUGUUCUUCAGUAGAUGAAUAAAUGAACGUGGUACAUCUAGGCAAUGGAAUAUUAUUCAGCACUAAAGAGAAACAAGCUGUUAAUCCACGAAAAGACAUGGAGGAUAUUUAAAUGCACAUUACCAGGUGGAAGAAGCCAAUCUGUACGUGUGAUUCUGACUAUAUGCCAUCCUGGAAAAGGCAAAACUAUUGGGACAGUAAAACAAUCAUUGUUUGCCAGGGGUGACAGGGGGCAGGUGGGUGCGGAGGGAUGAAUACAUGGACCACAGAGGAUUUUUAGGGCAGUGAAACUACUCUGUAUGCUGUAAUAAUGGUGAAUAUAAGUCAUUAUAUACUUGUCCAAACCCAUUGAAUAUAUAACACCAAAAUUGAACAUUAGUGUAUA
Homo sapiens (human) is the source of this 1801-nucleotide long non-coding RNA. RefSeq lists it as uncharacterized. The record is from RefSeq and is a predicted model, not a curated record. Lineage: Eukaryota; Metazoa; Chordata; Mammalia; Primates; Hominidae. The transcript is spliced from 3 exons.